AGCAGUAGCCGCGGUAAUACGUAGGUGGCAAGCGUUGUCCGGAAUUAUUGGGCGCAAAGGGCUCGCAGGCGGUUUCUUAAGUCUGAUGUGAAAGCCCCCGGCUCAACCGGGGAGGGUCAUUGGAAACUGGGAAACUUGAGUGCAGAAGAGGAGAGUGGAAUUCCACGUGUAGCGGUGAAAUGCGUAGAGAUGUAGAGGAACACCAGUGGCGAAGGCGACCCUCUGGUCUGUAACUGACGCUGAGGAGCGAAAGCGUGGGGAGCGAACAGGAUUAGAUACCCCAGUAGUCCCUGUCUCUUAUAC
RNAcentral lists this ribosomal RNA (303 nucleotides) under uncultured bacterium. RNAcentral's name for it is "partial 16S ribosomal RNA". It matches the Rfam family "Bacterial small subunit ribosomal RNA", at positions 507 to 807 of the family's 1533-position model. The record is from RNAcentral.